RNAcentral lists this microRNA precursor (100 nucleotides) under Microtus ochrogaster (prairie vole). RNAcentral's name for it is "miRNA (ENSMOCG00000008595.1)". The record is from RNAcentral. Lineage: Eukaryota; Metazoa; Chordata; Mammalia; Rodentia; Cricetidae.
GAAAUGCCUCCAUGAGAUCCAGCUGUAAGGCAUUUUCUCAAUGAGUGAUCAAUAGGGAAGGCCUCAUGGUGGGUGGGGCUAUCCCUGGGCUGGUGGUCCU